AUGCUUGAUCUAUGGUGGAGCGCAGAUGAUCUAGAGCACCUAUAUGAAGCAUAUAGAAGAUGUGAAAAAUAUCGGAAGAGGUUUGUUUUAUGGCCUGUUUUGUUGUGGAGUGGUAUUGCUUUUAGUAGGCAGUUGGAAACCACUUGUUUAGGUAAACCACAAACCAGAAAUCAGAUGAGACGAAAACAUUCCUUUCGUGUAUUGUUCACACACGAGUACCCAAGAAAUUUAUUGUAUCAAGUAGCAGUAUUGUCUCAUGCCAAAAAAAAAGGUAGUCGACUCUGUGACCUUGUUGUCCAUAAUGUUUUUUUGCUGCUGGGAAGGUUUCAUAAAUUGUGA
Molecule: ribosomal RNA, 339 nt
Filed under: Triticum aestivum (bread wheat)
Lineage: Eukaryota; Viridiplantae; Streptophyta; Magnoliopsida; Poales; Poaceae
Description: partial small subunit ribosomal RNA
Source: RNAcentral